This 333-nucleotide unclassified non-coding RNA is filed under the name soil metagenome. RNAcentral describes it as "partial contains 5.8S ribosomal RNA, internal transcribed spacer 2, and large subunit ribosomal RNA". The stretch from base 1 to 120 matches the Rfam family "5.8S ribosomal RNA", at positions 35 to 154 of the family's 154-position model. The record is from RNAcentral.
GAUGAAGAACGUAGCGAAAUGCGAUAAGUAAUGUGAAUUGCAGAAUUCAGUGAAUCAUCGAAUCUUUGAACGCACAUUGCGCCCGCUAGUAUUCUGGCGGGCAUGCCUGUUCGAGCGUCAUUUCAACCAUCAAGCCCUGCUUGUGUUGGGGUCCUGCGGCUGCCCGCAGGCCCUGAAAACCAGUGGCGGGCUCGCUAGUCACACCGAGCGCAGUAGCACAUCUCGCUCAGGGCGUGCGGCGGGUUCUUGCCGUAAAACACCCCCUUUUUACCAAGGUUGACCUCGGAUCAGGUAGGAAUACCCGCUGAACUUAAGCAUAUCAAUAAGCGGAGG